Molecule: small RNA, 138 nt
Filed under: Actinomadura sp.
Lineage: Bacteria; Bacillati; Actinomycetota; Actinomycetes; Streptosporangiales; Thermomonosporaceae
Description: c-di-AMP sequence
Rfam family: c-di-AMP riboswitch aptamer (ydaO/yuaA leader)
About the family: This family represents a conserved RNA structure found upstream of the ydaO and yuaA genes in Bacillus subtilis and related genes in other bacteria. The ydaO/yuaA element is thought to act as a genetic "off" switch for the ydaO and yuaA genes in its native state.
Source: RNAcentral
GCGAUGGCCACGCCGAAUCCUGCGGACCCGCGAGGUUCGGGGAACCGGGAACCAUCUUCUCCACUGGGGUGAAUCCGCUUGCCCCGAGUGGUAGGGCGAACCCGGCAGCUCACCCUGUAGGCGGCACAGGCUGGGCUU